UGCUGACAAAUGUUAAAUAUCAGCUCAAACACCUCAACGACAGGAAGCUCUAUCAUCAGCUUGCUCUGCACCACUGUGGUGUGUGUGCGCGCGUGUGUGUGUGUGUGAGUGAUGCCUUUGCAAAUGAUGUGCCUUCGUUAAGGUGGGAAGGCAGACUGUGACGUGACUUACAAAGCCUUACACACUUUAGCAGCACAUGUUUUUCGAUACACGCCGAAGCUUUACAGAUCUUGUCGGUUUGUCUGUAAUCUUGGUUUUGUUGCUCUGUGGCAAAAUGUGUUCUUCAUAAAAUCUAAAGCUAAAGACAUGACAAUGCUUGCUGAACUGGCCCGUCACUAACAUCAGCAACUUCUGUCAACAGAAAAGCAAAUAUGGGGAACUGUGGCUCUUUUGAUCCUGAUGACGAAUUCUCCUACCAUCCAGAUGAAUUUUGCGAUAAAUGUAACUGCCCAAAGCCUCCAUCCAGUCAAAUACAGCAAAACUAUGAUCCUCUGAUUCCUUAUCCAUCCCAGUACACACCUCAACCAUCAUCUCUCU
This is a long non-coding RNA of Carassius auratus (goldfish), 537 nucleotides long. RefSeq lists it as uncharacterized. NCBI's taxonomy places the organism in Eukaryota, Metazoa, Chordata, Actinopteri, Cypriniformes, Cyprinidae. The record is from RefSeq and is a predicted model, not a curated record. The transcript is spliced from 3 exons.